This is a long non-coding RNA of Leguminivora glycinivorella, 1149 nucleotides long. RefSeq lists it as uncharacterized. NCBI's taxonomy places the organism in Eukaryota, Metazoa, Arthropoda, Insecta, Lepidoptera, Tortricidae. The transcript is spliced from 5 exons. The record is from RefSeq and is a predicted model, not a curated record.
CCCAUUCAUACUGGAUAAAUUUUAGUCGCAUCCGGUCCGUCAAAUGUCUUAUGAUCUAUAGAGCCCUUUUGAUUUUUCUAUGGCAACAUUUGCUAUGCUGACGUCAUUGCCACGUCAUUACUGUCAGUCAGACAGAAAUAAAAGAAAAAUGGAUGCCGUUCAGACGUACACGCAUUAUUUGGAACUGAAAAUUACGUAAUUUAUCGACCUGCUGGCUUGUAUUUGUUAUAAAUCAUAAAAAAAUUAUGGAAAACAUCAUGAACAAUAAUGAAACAAACCGAACCUUUAGCUACAAUAAUAAAAUGACCCCAUGACGCCAGUGGAACUACGUGGUUUUCUUUCAUGAUGAUUUAAUGAUACCACAAUGGAAUUAGCCAAGUUUUCGCCGUAUUGGGUGCUAGAUGCCCCUUGGAGUUAAGCCCCAGUGCCACUAUACUACCUUACCAGUUAUGUGUGGGUGUCCCAAGGCACCCCAGAGAUGCAUAGGGCCUUCACAAGCUCACGCCACGCCUUCCUAUCUUCAGCAACCCUCGUGACCUCGCUCCACCAGCUCAAACCUGCCACUCACAGCUCCUUUUCGACGGACCGCUUCCAUGAGUAGACAAGGCACCGACGAUCACGGCUUGCAUCACCUGUACUGCUAUGUAAUAUAGUAUGCGGAACAACACUGCCAUUAUACUAGGAUCAACGUCCUGCCCCUUCCCCGGCUGUGUACAAAUUGGAACUCCAUUUGCAUGCCCCUUUGACUGAGCAACUUGUGUAUGUGUGUGUGCUCGAAACACAUUCACUUGCAACAGAAUGACUCCCAGGCUGACCUGGCUCAGUUCCUGUAUGUCCGAUCUACAUCCACAAUGGUUUCAAUGAAAGAGUGUAAAUUCUUCUCCAUGUACCAUCACUUCUAACGCCUACACUGACUACACCAGAUAUGAUCAUCCCUCAACGUGUCCCACAUAAAGAUACCUUUCAAAAGUCAUCAGGAAGAACAUAAUAUCUUUUCCCAUAUUUGCCUGAAUAAUCCUAACUAGAAGUUAUUUCUCUAUUCUAUUUUUCCUGCAUGGAGUGGCGCUUUUCCGUCUAAUGGAACCAACAAGAACAUGUAUGCUCUGGGUUUUUUUUGUGCACCUUUCCAACAUUACUAAUAAAGCAUUU